RNAcentral lists this ribosomal RNA (2904 nucleotides) under Klebsiella pneumoniae. Its description in RNAcentral is "23S ribosomal RNA". It matches the Rfam family "Bacterial large subunit ribosomal RNA". The record is from RNAcentral. Lineage: Bacteria; Pseudomonadati; Pseudomonadota; Gammaproteobacteria; Enterobacterales; Enterobacteriaceae.
GGUUAAGCGACUAAGCGUACACGGUGGAUGCCCUGGCAGUCAGAGGCGAUGAAGGACGUGCUAAUCUGCGAAAAGCGUCGGUAAGGUGAUAUGAACCGUUAUAACCGGCGAUGUCCGAAUGGGGAAACCCAGUGCAAUUCGUUGCACUAUCGUUAACUGAAUACAUAGGUUAACGAGGCGAACCGGGGGAACUGAAACAUCUAAGUACCCCGAGGAAAAGAAAUCAACCGAGAUUCCCCCAGUAGCGGCGAGCGAACGGGGAGCAGCCCAGAGUCUGAAUCAGCUUGUGUGUUAGUGGAACGGUCUGGAAAGUCCGACGGUACAGGGUGAUAGUCCCGUACACCAAAAUGCACAGGUUGUGAACUCGAAGAGUAGGGCGGGACACGUGGUAUCCUGUCUGAAUAUGGGGGGACCAUCCUCCAAGGCUAAAUACUCCUGACUGACCGAUAGUGAACCAGUACCGUGAGGGAAAGGCGAAAAGAACCCCGGCGAGGGGAGUGAAAAAGAACCUGAAACCGUGUACGUACAAGCAGUGGGAGCACCUUCGGGUGUGACUGCGUACCUUUUGUAUAAUGGGUCAGCGACUUAUAUUCUGUAGCAAGGUUAACCGUAUAGGGGAGCCGCAGGGAAACCGAGUCUUAACUGGGCGUUAAGUUGCAGGGUAUAGACCCGAAACCCGGUGAUCUAGCCAUGGGCAGGUUGAAGGUUGGGUAACACUAACUGGAGGACCGAACCGACUAAUGUUGAAAAAUUAGCGGAUGACUUGUGGCUGGGGGUGAAAGGCCAAUCAAACCGGGAGAUAGCUGGUUCUCCCCGAAAGCUAUUUAGGUAGCGCCUCGUGAAUUCAUCUUCGGGGGUAGAGCACUGUUUCGGCUAGGGGGUCAUCCCGACUUACCAACCCGAUGCAAACUACGAAUACCGAAGAAUGUUAUCACGGGAGACACACGGCGGGUGCUAACGUCCGUCGUGAAGAGGGAAACAACCCAGACCGCCAGCUAAGGUCCCAAAGUCAUGGUUAAGUGGGAAACGAUGUGGGAAGGCACAGACAGCCAGGAUGUUGGCUUAGAAGCAGCCAUCAUUUAAAGAAAGCGUAAUAGCUCACUGGUCGAGUCGGCCUGCGCGGAAGAUGUAACGGGGCUAAACCAUGCACCGAAGCUGCGGCAGCGACACUAUGUGUUGUUGGGUAGGGGAGCGUUCUGUAAGCCUGCGAAGGUGUGCUGUGAGGCAUGCUGGAGGUAUCAGAAGUGCGAAUGCUGACAUAAGUAACGAUAAAGCGGGUGAAAAGCCCGCUCGCCGGAAGACCAAGGGUUCCUGUCCAACGUUAAUCGGGGCAGGGUGAGUCGACCCCUAAGGCGAGGCCGAAAGGCGUAGUCGAUGGGAAACAGGUUAAUAUUCCUGUACUUGGUGUUACUGCGAAGGGGGGACGGAGAAGGCUAUGUUAGCCGGGCGACGGUUGUCCCGGUUUAAGCAUGUAGGCUGAUUAUCCAGGCAAAUCCGGAUAAUCAAGGCUGAGGUGUGAUGACGAGGCACUACGGUGCUGAAGUAACAAAUGCCCUGCUUCCAGGAAAAGCCUCUAAGCAUCAGGUAACAUCAAAUCGUACCCCAAACCGACACAGGUGGUCAGGUAGAGAAUACCAAGGCGCUUGAGAGAACUCGGGUGAAGGAACUAGGCAAAAUGGUGCCGUAACUUCGGGAGAAGGCACGCUGGUGUGUAGGUGAAGCCGCUGCGGGUGGAGCUGAGACCAGUCGAAGAUACCAGCUGGCUGCAACUGUUUAUUAAAAACACAGCACUGUGCAAACACGAAAGUGGACGUAUACGGUGUGACGCCUGCCCGGUGCCGGAAGGUUAAUUGAUGGGGUUAUCCGUAAGGAGAAGCUCUUGAUCGAAGCCCCGGUAAACGGCGGCCGUAACUAUAACGGUCCUAAGGUAGCGAAAUUCCUUGUCGGGUAAGUUCCGACCUGCACGAAUGGCGUAAUGAUGGCCAGGCUGUCUCCACCCGAGACUCAGUGAAAUUGAACUCGCUGUGAAGAUGCAGUGUACCCGCGGCAAGACGGAAAGACCCCGUGAACCUUUACUAUAGCUUGACACUGAACAUUGAGCCUUGAUGUGUAGGAUAGGUGGGAGGCUUUGAAGCGUGGACGCCAGUCUGCGUGGAGCCAACCUUGAAAUACCACCCUUUAAUGUUUGAUGUUCUAACGUUGGCCCCUUACCGGGGUUGCGGACAGUGUCUGGUGGGUAGUUUGACUGGGGCGGUCUCCUCCUAAAGCGUAACGGAGGAGCACGAAGGUUAGCUAAUCCUGGUCGGACAUCAGGAGGUUAGUGCAAUGGCAUAAGCUAGCUUGACUGCGAGCGUGACGGCGCGAGCAGGUGCGAAAGCAGGUCAUAGUGAUCCGGUGGUUCUGAAUGGAAGGGCCAUCGCUCAACGGAUAAAAGGUACUCCGGGGAUAACAGGCUGAUACCGCCCAAGAGUUCAUAUCGACGGCGGUGUUUGGCACCUCGAUGUCGGCUCAUCACAUCCUGGGGCUGAAGUAGGUCCCAAGGGUAUGGCUGUUCGCCAUUUAAAGUGGUACGCGAGCUGGGUUUAGAACGUCGUGAGACAGUUCGGUCCCUAUCUGCCGUGGGCGCUGGAGAAUUGAGGGGGGCUGCUCCUAGUACGAGAGGACCGGAGUGGACGCAUCACUGGUGUUCGGGUUGUCAUGCCAAUGGCACUGCCCGGUAGCUAAAUGCGGAAGAGAUAAGUGCUGAAAGCAUCUAAGCACGAAACUUGCCCCGAGAUGAGUUCUCCCUGAGACUUUAAGUCUCCUGAAGGAACGUUGAAGACGACGACGUUGAUAGGCCGGGUGUGUAAGCGCAGCGAUGCGUUGAGCUAACCGGUACUAAUGAACCGUGAGGCUUAACCUUAC